CCUUCAAAAAUCUCUUCCCCUGGAGAUUCCCUCAGGAACUCGGCCCCUUUUGUGUUACACACCUAAUCCCCCUGCAUAAACACUGUAUAU
This is a long non-coding RNA of Myotis davidii, 90 nucleotides long. RefSeq lists it as uncharacterized. The transcript has 3 exons. The record is from RefSeq and is a predicted model, not a curated record. NCBI's taxonomy places the organism in Eukaryota, Metazoa, Chordata, Mammalia, Chiroptera, Vespertilionidae.